RNAcentral lists this unclassified non-coding RNA (520 nucleotides) under uncultured Entrophospora. RNAcentral describes it as "SSU rRNA". It matches the Rfam family "Eukaryotic small subunit ribosomal RNA", at positions 569 to 1087 of the family's 1831-position model. Lineage: Eukaryota; Fungi; Glomeromycota; Glomeromycetes; Entrophosporales; Entrophosporaceae. The record is from RNAcentral.
AGCAGCCGCGGUAAUUCCAGCUCCAAUAGCGUAUAUUAAAGUUGUUGCAGUUAAAAGCUCGUAGUUGAAUUUCGGGAUUGGCGCAUCGGUCGUGCCUCACGGGGUAUGAACUGGUGCAGUCAAUUUCUCACCUUCUGGAGAACCGCGAUGUCCUUAAUUGGAUGCCGUGGGGAACCAGGACCUUUACUUUGAAAAAUUGAGUGUUUAAAGCAGGCAUUUUUGCUUGAAUACAUUAGCAUGGAAUAAUAAAAUAGGACGGCAUGGUUCUAUUUUGUUGGUUUCUAGGACCACCGUAAUGAUUAAUAGGGAUAGUUGGGGGCAUUAGUAUUCAAUUGUCAGAGGUGAAAUUCUUGGAUUUAUUGAAGACUAACUACUGCGAAAGCAUUUGCCAAGGAUGUUUUCAUUAAUCAAGAACGAAAGUUAGGGAUCGAAGACGAUCAGAUACCGUCGUAGUCUUAACCAUAAACUAUGCCGACUAGGAAUCAGACGAUGUUAAUUUUUAAUGUACUCGUUUGGCACC